Molecule: ribosomal RNA, 248 nt
Filed under: uncultured bacterium
Lineage: Bacteria
Description: partial 16S ribosomal RNA
Rfam family: Bacterial small subunit ribosomal RNA
Source: RNAcentral
AAGAUGGCGACCGGCGCACGGGUGAGUAACACGUAUCCAACCUGCCGAUAACUCCGGAAUAGCCUUUCGAAAGAAAGAUUAAUACCGGAUAGCAUACGAAUAUCGCAUGAUUUUUUUAUUAAAGAAUUUCGGUUAUCGAUGGGGAUGCGUUCCAUUAGUUUGUUGGCGGGGUAACGGCCCACCAAGACUACGAUGGAUAGGGGUUCUGAGAGGAAGGUCCCCCACAUUGGAACUGAGACACGGUCCAA